AGUGAACGCUGGCGGUAGGCCUAACACAUGCAAGUCGAACGGCAGCACAGUAAGAGCUUGCUCUUACGGGUGGCGAGUGGCGGACGGGUGAGGAAUACAUCGGAAUCUACUUUUUCGUGGGGGAUAACGUAGGGAAACUUACGCUAAUACCGCAUACGACCUACGGGUGAAAGCAGGGGAUCUUCGGACCUUGCGCGAUUGAAUGAGCCGAUGUCGGAUUAGCUAGUUGGCGGGGUAAAGGCCCACCAAGGCGACGAUCCGUAGCUGGUCUGAGAGGCUGAUCGGCCACACUGGAGCUGGGACACGGUCCAGAGUCCUGCGGGAGGCAGCAGUGGGGAAUAUUGGACAAUGGGCGCAAGCCUGAUCCAGCCAUACCGCGUGGGUGAAGAAGGCCUUCGGGUUGUAAAGCCCUUUUGUUGGGAAAGAAAAGCAGCAGGUUAAUACCCCGCUGUUCUGACGGUACCCAAAGAAUAAGCACCGGCUAACUUCGUG
This 492-nucleotide ribosomal RNA is filed under the name uncultured bacterium. RNAcentral describes it as "partial 16S ribosomal RNA". It matches the Rfam family "Bacterial small subunit ribosomal RNA", at positions 29 to 507 of the family's 1533-position model. The record is from RNAcentral.